Molecule: non-coding RNA, 28 nt
Filed under: Homo sapiens (human)
Lineage: Eukaryota; Metazoa; Chordata; Mammalia; Primates; Hominidae
Source: RNAcentral
UCUCAGGUGAAAAGCGUGCGCUCUGGGA